Molecule: ribosomal RNA, 484 nt
Filed under: uncultured bacterium
Lineage: Bacteria
Description: partial 16S ribosomal RNA
Rfam family: Bacterial small subunit ribosomal RNA
Source: RNAcentral
AUUGAACGCUGGCGGCAGGCCUAACACAUGCAAGUCGAGCGGAUGAAGGGAGCUUGCUCCUGGAUUCAGCGGCGGACGGGUGAGUAAUGCCUAGGAAUCUGCCUGGUAGUGGGGGAUAACGUCCGGAAACGGGCGCUAAUACCGCAUACGUCCGGAGGUAGAAAGUGGGGGAUCUUCGGACCUCACGCUAUCAGAUGAGCCUAGGUCGGAUUAGCUAGUUGGUGGGGUAAAGGCCUACCAAGGCGACGAUCCGUAACUGGUCUGCGAGGAUGAUCAGCCACACUGGAACUGAGACACGGUCCAGACUCCUACGGGAGGCCUCAGUGGGGAAUAUUGGACAAUGGGCGAAAGCCUUAUCCAGCCAUGCCGCGUGUGUGAAGAAGGUCUUCGGAUUGUAAAGCACUUUAAGUUGGGAGGAAGGGCAGUAAGUUAAUACCUUGCUGUUUUGACGUUACCAACAGAAUAAGCACCGGCUAACUUCGUG